Molecule: long non-coding RNA, 1266 nt
Filed under: Junco hyemalis (dark-eyed junco)
Lineage: Eukaryota; Metazoa; Chordata; Aves; Passeriformes; Passerellidae
Description: lncRNA (ENSJHYG00000007468.1)
Source: RNAcentral
GCACUGGGUAAAAUCCUGUAUGUGUAGCAAGUGAGGGUUGCUUUGAAGUGACCACUUUGAAGUGGAUCAAGCCAGGAGUUGCAGAACUGAAGAUCCUGAUUUGGACUGAGUUCACAGCCAAGGCUGACCACAAGUGAACCUUCUUCUGAAAAAACCUUCAGGAAGAUGUUCGGAGACGGCAGCAGACCCGCAGAGCUGGCCAGAGCAAGCUGGACACUUUCACAAGGUACUUUUGUCUUUUCCCUUCCUGAUGAACCAGCCCUUCGUAGUUUGUGGCGGUUGGUAUGGCAGACACAUGCCUUGGAAGAAGAGGUUCAGUUCUCCCCUUCAGAGGAGAAACUUAUUGCCCUCUGGCAAAAAUGGUGUAGAGAAGAUGGGAUUUUUCUGUCAGCAAAAACAUCUCCAUGAGUUCUUUCGAUGGGCAAAGCUUUUUGGGUUCUUUACUGAUGUCCUGUACGCCUUGGAUGUUUUUGUCUGGGAGUGCAUGAAUUCCAUUUUCCAGUCCGUCUGGGGCCAGGAACGUCUUUUGCCUUCUAUCUACCCAGCAUUUAUAAAGCUCUUCCGAGUUUUGAAACGGAGAGCAGCUAUUUUUCAAUGGAUUUCUAACUGUUAUGGACAGGCUCCGUUUCCACCGUCCCCGGUGGGAGAAGACCCGGCGGGGGAUGAGUGGGGGCUUCCCAGCCCCCUGUCCCCAGUGGGAGAAGACCCGGCGGGGGAUGAGUGGGGGCUGCCCAGCCCCCCCUGCUCCGCGGCGGGGGGGGGCGAAACUGCGCCGAGCGAAGAAGUUUUUUUUACUCUUUCUCCGGAGCCUGCGCAGACGGAACCUUCUCCGUCCCCCCCUUCUCUCUCUCCGGGGGCAUGGGAGUGGGUGGUCCCGCUCGAACCAGUGCCGUUGGUGCCGCCCCUGCCAGCGCUGCGUCCGCCUUCAAGACCCGCCUCACCAGCGCGGCCGCCUCUCCAGGCCAUCCCGUCUCCGCCUCUCCAGGCAGUCCUGCCCACGGCUUCACAGGCCUCCCCGCCCCUGCCAGCGCCUGCGUCUGAGAAUGCAGAAGAGGCACUUCCUGUGGCUGCUGAGUUGCUAAGCGACGACGACGCGUCUCCAGCUUCCGGCUCAGCGGAGCAGUUGUUCUCUCCGGCCCCUCCAGCCCCUCUGCCGUUUCCAUCGGCUUCCUCGCCGCCUCAGGCCGAGACGGUUCCUGUUCAGGAUGGUGCUGGAGAUGGCGCCGAACCUGCGGGACCCUUGGAAAAGCCUGCGGCCGCUCCUAC